UACGACCUCAGCUCAGACGUGUCAACCC
Molecule: ribosomal RNA, 28 nt
Filed under: Sphyrna lewini (scalloped hammerhead)
Lineage: Eukaryota; Metazoa; Chordata; Chondrichthyes; Carcharhiniformes; Carcharhinidae
Also listed under: 6 other names
Description: partial 28S ribosomal RNA
Source: RNAcentral